RNAcentral lists this ribosomal RNA (226 nucleotides) under uncultured bacterium. Its description in RNAcentral is "partial 16S ribosomal RNA". It matches the Rfam family "Bacterial small subunit ribosomal RNA", at positions 121 to 334 of the family's 1533-position model. The record is from RNAcentral.
AUAAUCUACCCAGUAAUCCGGGAUAACAUCUCGAAAGAGAUGCUAAUACCUGAUAAGCCCACGAUCUCUUCGGAGAACGAGGGAAAAGGUGGGGACCUUCGGGCCUGCCGUUGCUGGAUGAGUCCGCGGCCCAUUAGCUAGUUGGUAGGGUAAUGGCCACCAAGGCUACGAUGGGUAGCUGGUCUGAGAGGAUGAUCAGCCACACUGGAACUGAGACACGGUCCAG